This 5537-nucleotide long non-coding RNA is filed under the name Nicotiana tabacum (common tobacco). RNAcentral's name for it is "long non-coding RNA (NTAB_LNC002758)". The record is from RNAcentral. Lineage: Eukaryota; Viridiplantae; Streptophyta; Magnoliopsida; Solanales; Solanaceae.
UCCAAUAGCCUCAAAUGCCUCAGCUCCAUAGACAAUGUCAUAGUCUAGGUGCAUCAAAGUUCCCUAAGAAUCUCAAGGAUCCUAGGCAGUGCUUACACCUAGACUUGGUAACCAAAAUUGAAUAAGUGCAGUAUGGAAGGUCCAACCUCAGUAUGCCAGAGUUCAGAGGGUUCUUAAGAGGAUCCCAAGGCAGUACACAUACUGGAGUGGGAAAAACCUAUUGAAUUAGGAGUAGAGUGAAAGUUCUCGACACAAGUUGAAAAGUUUCAGUGGGAAAACUGUAUUAAAAGGAAGUUUAUUUGAAAUAAUUUAGUAAAACAAUAGAGACAAUUUGAAAAGAGAGUGGAGUAGUAAACAACAGUCUAAACACAACACCCUUAAGACAGGUUCAUACACAGCCAGGGGUCACAGAACCAAAGCAAAUUUAGUAGUCAUAAACAGGGGUCAAGGGAUUUGGGGAUGCAUAGAACACAUGAUAACAAGCAAAGGUCUUAGGAAUUGGUACAGACAUGUUCAGACACAACUGAUCAGACAUAGUAAAAAAACCAUCAAUUCUUAAGGAGGUUCAGUAUAGGAUCCACAUGAUUCAAUCCCAGAACCAUACAAGUUAGGAGUGCAUACUACAUAGAAGAGAUUCGUAUCAGAGACCAGAUAGUGCAAGAUUACAUGGAGAUAGAUUACAGAAGGGUAACGUGCUCAUACUGAUUCUAAGGAAGGGGAGUUUAUAACAUGCUAAUCAUGUAAGCAUAUUAAUUGUAGGUUUCACAGCAAAACCAUAAGUAAAAGCAAACUAGAAACAGGAUGAAUUGAAGCAAUAAAAGAACCAUAUUGUUGUUGGAACUUGAAUUGAACUAGAACAUACUAGUAGAGAAGACAGUAAACAAAAGUGAAGGAGCAGGAGAGCACAGUAGUUAGCCUUGGCUUGCAGCCGGCUAACUUAGAAUAGUAGCAAGUAGCACAAAAGAGAGAGAGCACAAAGUUUAAGUGAGAGAGAGAGAGAGAGAUUUUGAAGAAAAGUGUUCAUCUUGUGUUAAUGAAAAAGUGUGUAUAUAUAGUAGUUCGAAAUCAGAUAAAAAAUAAGGUAAGAAUCAUAGUAGCAUAGUAAUUAUGGAACUCAGAAUCAAUUAGAGCAAAAUCAGGACCAGUACUCCCUUAAGUAAAGGGAAUUAAUUCAAACGGUAAGAACAAGUAUUAUAUAAGGAAAGAAAUCAGUGUAUGACUAAUAAGAAAGAAUCAAAUUCAGUAAGUAUAGGGUAAGCAAUUAGGGCUAAGUUCAGAAAACUCCAAUUAAGGAAAUUGUUCAGUAAGAAUAAAGUACCAGAGCAGACAAGGUAGGCGAAUCAGUUAAUUUGAAUAGAAGAGGUAGAAAUCGAGAGUUUGAGGGAAGGUCUUUCAAUCAACCCAUAAAAUAGGGAAUCCAGAAUCAAUCAAAGAGGAGGUCAUGAUUCAGUAUUCAGCAUAUAAAUAGAGUAAGAGCAACCACACAUAGCAAACAUGCAGGUUAAACAAUAUCGAUAGAAAGAGGAAAGUCUAAACAAUCAAGAUGAACAUAAUCAUAUAGAGGUGGUAUAAGUUAAGCCAAAAACUCAGUAAGAACAUAUUCGAGGAAAGGUAAUCACAUAUACUUAAACAAGAAUCGAGUAGUCAUGCUAACACACAGAACCAAACAAAGAAAUCUCAGAAAUUUGGGGCUUUCAACAUAGGCUAGUUGAAAAGGGAGUAAAAUCAUAGAAUCAGUCGAAAUAUGCAAGAGAUGGAAGAAUCAGUUUAACCACUGAAUCUACCGGAGUGACGCGACCUCUUGUCAGACCCUUGACCACACCCCUGAGCUAGAACCAUCUCAACUCGUCUGGCAACAUUGGCUGCAUCCUAGAAAGAAAUAUCACUCACAGUCUCCUUAGCCAUCCGCAAUCUGAUAGGCUGAGCAAGUCACUCAAUAAACCUCCUCACCAUCUUUCUCUCGGUAGGAAGUAUAAGAAGAGCAUGACGGGCCAAAUCAAUAAAGUGGGUCUCGUACUGAGUGACGGACAUACUGCCCUGUUGAAGACUCUCGAACAAUCUUUUUUUCUUUUUUGGAUUUUGAAUUUUCUUAUUCUUUUUCUUUUUAAAUUUCCGAAAGAAAGACAUAUAAAAAAACUAUAUAUAUAUUUUUUGAUUUUUGCAUUNUUUUUUUGAAUUUUUUGAUUCGAAAGAAAAACCUCUAAAGAAGAAAGAAAAUAUAUUUGGAUUUUGGACUUUUAUGUUAAAAUUAUGAAAGAAAGACUUCUAAAGAAAAUGAUUUUGAAUCUUGCAUUUUCUUUUCAAUUUUCGAAAGAAAAACUUCUAAAGAAGAAAGAAAAUAUUUUUGGAUUUUUUUUUUAAAAUUGGGGUCUCAAAGAAAGACUUUUCUAAAGGAGGAAGCAAGGGAAAAUAUUUUUGGUUUUAUUUUUUUAAAAUUGAGGGCCGAGACCGAUGAGGUUUGCCUACGUAUCUCACAUCCCGUGAGAACAGGUGAAACAUGACUUUUGAAAACAAUAACCUAUUUUCUUUCUUUGUUUGUUUUUUUUUUUUUUGAAAAUUUCGGCAGAGCUUCGGAUUACCUACCUCUCACUCUUGAUUUUUUUUUUUUUGAUUUUCUUUUUCUUUCCUUUUUUUAAUUUUCUUUCCCUAUUCUAGCAGUCAGUCAACAUGCAAGCCGAAACAAACAGAUACGCAAGUAGCACGUAAGAUGCAUUAGGAUGAUCUUUUAAUUUGGGUACACCUGUCCUAGACGGACCCAACCCCUGUGUUGAGUCUCUAAAGUCAAGAUGCACGUGAUGCAAACAAGCGUACCUACUAGGGAUCCAACAUGAGGCUAUGUUAUUCUAGGUUUAAACCUGGAGUGUAUUGUUCUUGACUUGGCUUACCCGAACGGACAGCUCGAGCCGGGGGGCAGCUUACCGGGAAUACAGAAACUUCACCGGCUUUGCAAGUUGUCCGAACCUCGUUCUAAAAUUUGGAUAUGACUCUAACAGAAAAGAAGUCACGCGAAGCGCACACUCCCCAGAAGAUUUAGAAGACUCAGAGAGAAGAAGGGUUUCAUAAAAGGUUUACAUACAGUUCAAUCAAUAUCAAAGCGGUAAAAAGCGGUAUUUAACGCAUUAGGCUCAAACAUGCAAAAUCAGAAAAUAGAUAAAAGCCAAGUAUAACAAUUAUUCUAAGCUCGAAUUCUGAACUCUGAACUAGAAGUUCUGGGUUCUUUUCCCCAGCAGAGUCGCUAGAGCUGUCACACCUCUUUUUUACCCGAAGGGAUUGGGAGUUUUUCCAAUUUAAGUGAAAUAAAUCAAAAUGGGAUUAUUUAUUUAAUCAGAGUCACCACUUGGAAUAAUUUAUGGCGUUCCAAGUCACCGGUUUAUUUUAAAUCCCAAAUCAAGAAAAUUGACUCUUAUUUAUGAUCUGCGAACACAGAAGACCGGGUAAGAAAUUCUGUUAACCUGGGAGAAGGUGUUAGGCAUUCCCGGGUUCCAUGAUUUUAGCACAGUCACUCAACUAUUAAUAAUUGUCCUAAUUAUCUGAUUGAUUACAUGUUUAGAACCUUUUUUGCAUUUUUAACCUUUUAAACCACUUUUAAUUAUUUUUGGAACAAGUAAAGAUGUCGUACACUUGUCGUUUUGGCACACAUUGUAAACCGUGCCACAUGAAAUGCACCCGCGAUGUAUAAUAUAUUUAUUUUAUUAUUAUUCAAAAUUAUGGUCGAGUCACGUGAAACGCACACUCGAAUUGGUGAUUGUGUAUCGUGACCAUACCACGGGAACCGUACCCAUAGUCACGAUAAUUCACUUAGCACCUAAAAGUAUGUCUACCCACGUGUGGUUGGCCUAAGCAUAUUCCUAGCGAAUAAUGUGAUAAAGUAAAUAAAUAAAUAAAUAAAUAAAUAAAAGAGAACUAAAACAUAUAACAAUUUAAUUAUGUUUGACUUUUCCCCAUCCCACGGCCCCGUCAUUCAUUUAAGACAAAUGCACACCAAUCAAAACAUAAUGGAAAAAUCAAAUUGACAAACAUCCAAAUAGCCAAGCCGCUGAAGUAAUUAUCCAAACAAAUAAGUAUUUAAACCAUUAAGAAAAAAAAAUAAACAAAAGACAAAUAACAUGAUAGAAUAUAAAUAAGUAAAAGAAGCACACCUGAACCUGGGAAAGGCCAUUAGAGGAUUUUAUUAUUACCCAGUUCCUUAACCUCUUAAAGUGCCAUAUUUUAAAAUCAAGCAGAACAAUUAAACACAUGACUUGGCAGAUUUACCCAUCUCAUAUUCCCUAAAUUUCACAACCCAACUCUUCAUACCAAUUUACAGCUAUAUAUACGAAAUCACUCCAAUGAAGCUAUGAGACAGUUCAACGACUUAAUUAACAUAUGAAGAUAGUCAAACGACAUCGAAGAACGCAUAGUCAAAUCAUGAGAAAGAAACUCGUGCAAUUUUGGUCAAACACCAGAGGUGAGGCGUGAAUCAGGAAACAUACAAUUUGCAAAAUGUGUGACCCUUUAAUCCAAAGACAUACUUCAAGAAUUUAAAAUUUCAUGUCAUGACCAUGACACUCAUAGCUUAGAAUUAGAAAGAAAUCUAUUCUACGGGCAAUUGCAAGGAUGUUCACUUAAUUUACCAAGCAUUACUUGAGCUUAAGAAAUUCUAUAGUAACUUCGGCCUCCAAAAUUUGUGACACAUAAAAGUAAAUGCUAUGCGAUUUAUUUGAACAUCUUGUGAGGAUCUAGUGAGGAAGUAGUAAAUGCUUGGGAUUGACAGUAAUGAUUAACCUUCAAAUAAACUCACAAUUUUUAUCGCCCAUCAUACGGGUUUAAAAAUUCCAUGAGGCUCAUAACAUAUCGUCAAAAUCUGGCCAAUUCCAUGUUAGAACAAGAAAUUGAAGGCACGGACUAUUGUUUCAGCACAUUAGCUAUCAAAUGUAGAUUCAAGAAAAAUCAGAGAUCCAAACAUUAAAGUCAAGAACGCGAACACAACCAAGCUCUUAUAAUGGCACUUCCAAGACAUCAAUUCACCACAAUAACAACAACAAAUAAACAAAUAAAUAAGUAAAUAACAGAGGGGAGGAAUGAACCUGAAAAUGCAAGUCUCUUCUUAAUAAUUGAAAAUAGAAAAAUUGGCUACAGCGUUUGAAUCCAAAAUCCAACUAAAAUCAGAAACAAGAGUCGAAUAGGAACGUGAAUCAUAACGAACUCGAAUGGCGAACACAACUCCAACCUCAAGCAAACCCCAUUUUUUGUCCGGAAAAUCCUCUGGUUUGUUCUUCUUCAAUUGUUCCCCUCUAUUUCGUGUAUAUGUGGAUAUGUGUGUGGAGUUAAAGGGUGGAGAAGAUGGAAAUAGGAGUGGUGGUUAUUGGUGGUUGUUUGGCCGCGGCAAGAGAGGUCUGGCGAUGGGGUCGCUAGUUGGUGUGAGAGAAGGGAGCUCCGUUUGGUUUCAAGAAGAGAUCGGAUGGGGUAGGGCAGGCGACGGCUGGUCAAAAGAGUGAAGAAGAAGGGCUUUGGCUAGUGUGAGGUAAAGAAGAGGGAACCGCUGGGAGGGGUGUUCU